GACGGAGGGUGCACGCGUUGUUCGGAAUUACUGGGCGUAAAGCGCGUGUAGGCGGCUUGCUAAGUCUGAUGUGAAAGCCCGGGGCUCACCCCCGGAAGUGCAUUGGAAACUGGCGAGCUCGAGUCCCGGAGAGGAGGGUGGAAUUCCUGGUGUAGCGGUGAAAUGCGUAGAUAUCAGGAGGAACACCGGUGGCGAAGGCGGCCCUCUGGACGGUGACUGACGCUGAGACGCGAAAGCGUGGGGAGCAAACAGG
This 253-nucleotide ribosomal RNA is filed under the name uncultured bacterium. RNAcentral describes it as "partial 16S ribosomal RNA". It matches the Rfam family "Bacterial small subunit ribosomal RNA", at positions 524 to 776 of the family's 1533-position model. The record is from RNAcentral.